Long non-coding RNA from Mastomys coucha (southern multimammate mouse), 407 nucleotides. RefSeq lists it as uncharacterized. The transcript has 3 exons. Lineage: Eukaryota; Metazoa; Chordata; Mammalia; Rodentia; Muridae. The record is from RefSeq and is a predicted model, not a curated record.
GUGUGUAGAGGGCUGUGGAUCAGCUGUCCUACCUGGGUGAAGAUGGAUAAAUAAAGCCUGCAGCUUCUGUGGCCUGUGCCUCCCAGUUGGUCCCAACUGAGACCCAGGGUCUGAGCACUCCCUGGAAAGAAGCUCUCCACCUGCUGGAAAGAAACAACAACAAGAACAAGAACAACAGCAUCCUAUCCUCAGUUCCGGUUCAGAUAUUGAGUUUAUGCAUCCAUCUUAACUAUACCUUCAAUCUACUUUCAUGCUCAAUAAGCAAGAGAAUUUCUCAGGAAAUAAGGCUGAGAGAAGCUAACAGAAUUGAAGAGACUAUGUACUAUUGAAGAUUCUCCAGUGCUUUUACUUUAUGUUCAGUAACACCUUACUGUUAGCAAGAGACAAGACUUUAUCAGGACUACAAG